AUUGAACGCUGGCGGCAUGCUUUACACAUGCAAGUCGAACGGCAGCACGGGCUUCGGCCUGGUGGCGAGUGGCGAACGGGUGAGUAAUAUAUCGGAACGUACCCAGAAGUGGGGGAUAACGUAGCGAAAGUUACGCUAAUACCGCAUACGAUCUAUGGAUGAAAGCAGGGGACCGCAAGGCCUUGUGCUCCUGGAGCGGCCGAUAUCUGAUUAGCUAGUUGGUGAGGUAAAGGCUCACCAAGGCGACGAUCAGUAGCUGGUCUGAGAGGGCGACCAGCCACACUGGAACUGAGACACGGUCCAGACUCCUACGGGAGGCAGCAGUGGGGAAUUUUGGACAAUGGGCGCAAGCCUGAUCCAGCAAUGCCGCGUGAGUGAAGAAGGCCUUCGGGUUGUAAAGCUCUUUUGUCAGGGAAGAAACGGUAGAGGCUAAUAUCCUUUGCUAAUGACGGUACCUGAAGAAUAAGCACCGGCUAACUACGUG
RNAcentral lists this ribosomal RNA (484 nucleotides) under uncultured bacterium. RNAcentral's name for it is "partial 16S ribosomal RNA". It matches the Rfam family "Bacterial small subunit ribosomal RNA", at positions 30 to 507 of the family's 1533-position model. The record is from RNAcentral.